This 318-nucleotide ribosomal RNA is filed under the name uncultured Chloroflexota bacterium. Its description in RNAcentral is "bacterial SSU rRNA". It matches the Rfam family "Bacterial small subunit ribosomal RNA", at positions 28 to 351 of the family's 1533-position model. The record is from RNAcentral. Lineage: Bacteria; Bacillati; Chloroflexota.
GAUGAACGCUGGCGGCGUGCCUAAUACAUGCAAGUCGAACGGAGAUCAGUGAUGGUCUUAGUGGCGAACGGGUGAGUAACGCGUUGGUGACCUGCCCCAAAGAGAGGGAUAACAGACCGAAAGGUUUGCUAAUACCGCAUGAGCUAGUGGAGGACUAGAAGUCUGCUAGGAAAGCCGAAAGGCGCUUUGGGAGGGGCCUGCGACCCAUCAGCUAGUUGGUAAGGUAACGGCUUACCAAGGCGAUGACGGGUAGGGGACCUGAGAGGGUGGCCCCCCACAAUGGAACUGAAACACGGUCCAUACACCUACGGGAGGCUG